CUAACGGCGUGCCUCGGCAUCAG
RNAcentral lists this small RNA (23 nucleotides) under Arabidopsis thaliana (thale cress). RNAcentral's name for it is "Ath_wt_14487". The record is from RNAcentral. Lineage: Eukaryota; Viridiplantae; Streptophyta; Magnoliopsida; Brassicales; Brassicaceae.